ACUCCGGCGCUUUGGGGCGGUGGCCGUCAGGUUGUCCUCAGUGGCCUGCCUGAUCGAAGCAUCUGCGNNNNNNNNNNNNNNNNNNNNNGACCUCCGCUCCGGGCUCACUGUCGCUGUCCCGUGGCCGCUCACAUUCAGUGUCCGUGUGGAUGAACUGCCCUUAUUUUGUAGCCCACUGUCCCUCUCGCCAUCCUGCCUUCCCCUGGGCCAGCUUCCCGUCCCCCUUGCUGUGUCCCAGCCCCCGUCGCUGGCACCGUGGACUGUCUGCAUCUCGAGGUGCCCCCCGCGCCCGCGCCUCUCUCCCUCCUCAGACCCGAGCAGCAGCAGAAGAGCUCGUGGGCAGCUUCUGAGCGCCGUCUGGAGAGACGUGGUCGAGCGGGUCCAGGGCACGGACUGAGAACUUGCCCGGCCCAGUGGGACCUCACUUAGCGAAGCAGGCUCUGGAGCCCCCAGGCCCGCGGGGAGACACCUUGGGCCCUGAGUCCGCCACCCCCACCCUUUCGUCCCUCCUCGACACCGUCAACCCGCUCAGUCCCCUGUUAGCUCAGGUGCCGUCGCCGUAACUACCUUAGUUCAAACACCCUUAACUACUUUGCUGCACGAGGGCCUGUCUUGCAAAACCCAGCGCUCUGCCUGCUCCGAAGCUGCCCUCUGAGCUCCUGAAGACAUUCCCACGGCCUUGCCACGUGGUCUUGGCCUGUGCCUGGGCACGGCUUGCCCACUCGUCCAAACUGGCCUGGCUUGGGCUUCCAGGCUCUCAGGGAGGAUCUCAGGGUGCUUACCAAGGUCUCCCCACUCUGGCUGGGUUGGAACUGCAUUGUGUCCCCAGCACGACAGCAGCCCUCCCCUGCAGGACCUGUCAGGACGUGCCCCGGACAGGGGCUGCUCGGGGUUUGGCCAAGGACCUGAGCUCGUACACAGCUUACUCCUAAGGCUCCUGGUGACCCUGUGCGACCGAGACGUGGAGGACAGCCUUCUGUGUGGUCCUGUGGGAAUGAGAUGGUGCACCAGGACACGCGGGCGCUGCUUGGCCCUACCCACCCGACUCUGCCACAGAGUGCCAGCUGGGGGGUGACGGGGGGAUUGCAGGCCGGCCUCGGACAGGUGCUGGGUGCUGGACAGGGUGGAUGCCUGUGGUCAUUCUCAUCGACUUUAGCCGGUGGGCUACCCUCCCGGUGCAGGCCCUGCACAGCUUGCAGAGUGACGACUUCUGAGCCAACCCCCCUCUGACUCAGCCUAUCAUGCUGGAGAAAGAUGGCUGUUGGGGCCCCUGUUUUCACAUCCUUGAGAGGAAGAGGCCUCUGCUCUGCUCUGUCAAGGUUGGGGCUCGGUGAGAUGUGAGUGGGCGAGACAGUGCUCUGGAGGACCAGGAGAAGCACACCGGAAGUAAGAUGGAAAGGCAUCUCCACAACGUGCAGGGGCAAGCGGCGUGGGCCCCAUGGGCGGGGGCACCCCAGAGGUCAUCUUGGGCCCUGCUGUGCAGCGUGGGGGAGUGACCGGUUCCCGGCCGGGGCCCAGGAACUGCAGGCAGGCACCUGACUGCUUGGGCGCCGGAGAGCUGUGAGCAGAGGAGCCCAGUGCCCCGAACAGCAGCUCCCAGACAGAUGGAGGGGCCGGAGUGCCCACCCCAGGUCGGGGGGUGCUCGGCUCUUGUGUGGACAUUGAGGUGGCCCUGAGAGGUCAGGUGGGCCAAUUUCCCCCUUUACGGAGGGGGACAACAAGGCUCAGAAAAGUGACAGGAACGUCCUCACGUUUCCUCAAAACAAAAUGGCACAGCUGGGGACGGACCUAAUGUCCGACUCUGUAUGGCCAGUUUCAUGCAUUCAAGUGGCCCUGGAUGGGGGGACCCGAGUGAGGGGAGGCCUCGGAGAACAGCACCCCCCCAUGGAGGAACGGCUUGCUCAGUGGGCAAAGGCCUCUCUGCGCCGCAGCCUCCAGCCCUCCAGCGAAUGCGCUCAGAGUUGAACGAGCAGAGUUUCGUGUCCUCAGAAUUUCCCCCCUGGACGAUGUGAAAUCCCAGAUCCCUGCAACAACUUUAGGCACAGCAGUAAGGCCUCCUUUGCUCUGCUCUUCCUCUGCCCUCCCCUCCCACCUCCGCAGCCCUUCCAUCUGGGGUCAGCCCGCCCCCGGAGCCCGCCCUGACCC
RNAcentral lists this long non-coding RNA (2145 nucleotides) under Ursus maritimus (polar bear). RNAcentral describes it as "lncRNA (ENSUMAG00000019977.1)". Lineage: Eukaryota; Metazoa; Chordata; Mammalia; Carnivora; Ursidae. The record is from RNAcentral.